RNAcentral lists this ribosomal RNA (547 nucleotides) under Bifidobacterium breve. Its description in RNAcentral is "bacterial SSU rRNA". It matches the Rfam family "Bacterial small subunit ribosomal RNA", at positions 145 to 702 of the family's 1533-position model. Lineage: Bacteria; Bacillati; Actinomycetota; Actinomycetes; Bifidobacteriales; Bifidobacteriaceae. The record is from RNAcentral.
UUCUCCUGGGAAAGGGUGGUAAUGCCGGAUGCUCCAUCACACUGCAUGGUGUGUUGGGAAAGCCUUUGCGGCAUGGGAUGGGGUCGCGUCCUAUCAGCUUGAUGGCGGGGUAACGGCCCACCAUGGCUUCGACGGGUAGCCGGCCUGAGAGGGCGACCGGCCACAUUGGGACUGAGAUACGGCCCAGACUCCUACGGGAGGCAGCAGUGGGGAAUAUUGCACAAUGGGCGCAAGCCUGAUGCAGCGACGCCGCGUGAGGGAUGGAGGCCUUCGGGUUGUAAACCUCUUUUGUUAGGGAGCAAGGCAUUUUGUGUUGAGUGUACCUUUCGAAUAAGCACCGGCUAACUACGUGCCAGCAGCCGCGGUAAUACGUAGGGUGCAAGCGUUAUCCGGAAUUAUUGGGCGUAAAGGGCUCGUAGGCGGUUCGUCGCGUCCGGUGUGAAAGUCCAUCGCUUAACGGUGGAUCCGCGCCGGGUACGGGCGGGCUUGAGUGCGGUAGGGGAGACUGGAAUUCCCGGUGUAACGGUGGAAUGUGUAGAUAUCGAAA